RNAcentral lists this transfer RNA (70 nucleotides) under Lithobates sierramadrensis. RNAcentral's name for it is "Rana sierramadrensis tRNA-Ala". Lineage: Eukaryota; Metazoa; Chordata; Amphibia; Anura; Ranidae. The record is from RNAcentral.
CAGGGUAUUAACCUACAUCUUCUGAAUGCAACUCAGAUCCUUUUAUUAAGAUAAAGUUCUCUAGAAUGAC